Unclassified non-coding RNA from Papio anubis (olive baboon), 117 nucleotides. It matches the Rfam family "Metazoan signal recognition particle RNA". Rfam says of the family: The signal recognition particle (SRP) is a universally conserved ribonucleoprotein. It is involved in the co-translational targeting of proteins to membranes. The record is from Ensembl. Lineage: Eukaryota; Metazoa; Chordata; Mammalia; Primates; Cercopithecidae.
GCCAGGCGUGGUGGCUCACGCCUGUAAUCCCAGCACUUUGGGAGGCCGAGGUGGGGGGAUCACCUGAGGUCAGGAGUUCGAGACCAGCCUGACUAACAUGGUGAAACCCCGUCUCUA